AUCGUGGUCACAUUAUGCUAAUAUUAAGGAUAUCAGUAAUAGUAAUAACAAUGAUACAAACAAUAGUUGGACUUAACUGUUGUAAAAUGUAUAAUGAGAUUAGGAAUGAUUUGAAUCAUUUGAGAAAUGUGGAAGUAUAGUAAAAGUUGGUUGUUGAACAUGAGGAAGGCUAAACUGCUACCAGCAUGCUCUGCAUCGUUGUUUGGCAUUUAGCAAAUUUUUCUGCUUUUUUAAAUAACUCUGGAUUGAACCCUCACAUGUUCCUUCUUCUAAUAUGAACAUCGAUGAAGUUGUACCAGCAGGGACAUUUUUGACCUUGUUUCUGCAUGAGAACUCUACUUGUUGUCAGAGUUGCCACUGACAGUUUGUUUGUGUUUUAGCUUAUCCUCUGUGUGUUUAGUAUUUCCUGUCCUUAGUUCCUGUGUAGUGCUCUUAUUUUGGUUCAGCUUCCUGUUUGUCUCCCUGUGUCCUGUUUUCACUCAGCUGCGGCUGAUUGGCAUCUGGUCACACCUGAUGUCAAUCAGCCAGCUCCUAUUUUACCUGCUUUGUUCCUCCAGUCAGGGCUGGAUCAUUGUAUUGUAUUGCAUUGUCAUUGCCACAUGUCACUCUUGUCGUGCCAUUUUGUUACAGCUACUACCUGUCGUGCUACAUUUCGUCCUGGUCGUCAUAGCGUAUAUCAGCUGACCAGGGAUCAGUUUCCGUGGAGGAUGCACUAGCUGUUCAAAGUCGUGACCAGGGUUGGACCACUCCUCUAUGCAUCAGUUGGUGACGCCUCCACACUGCUAACCUUUCUACAUGCAGAGGAUACUCCUGCUGAGUUUCCUAUGGACUGGGCCCACACAUUAUUAACCAUAUCCACUCGGCAUUCCUUGCACCGGUCACCCACUGCGGACUCUCCCAAGGU
Molecule: long non-coding RNA, 904 nt
Organism: Nerophis ophidion (straightnose pipefish)
Lineage: Eukaryota; Metazoa; Chordata; Actinopteri; Syngnathiformes; Syngnathidae
Exons: 2
Source: RefSeq, a predicted model, not a curated record